AAAUAGUUGUUAAUAUCUUACCACAUUCCCUUUAUUCUCCUAGUGUAAUAGAGACAUAAACAUUUUCCUGAAUAUUUGAGGGUUGGUAAUAGACACUAUGUCACUUAGUCACAAAUCAAAAUCAUCACCUUGUCUCCUCAUAGGAAGUGAAGUGUGUUUUCCUACAUAAUAUUAAUUAUCAAGUAGGAAAUUUGACAUUGAUGGAAUAUGUUAUUGAGUAUAUAGUCUCAUAUUUUCAAAAAUCAUCUUAGAACUUUAAAAAAUUGCUACGACUAGGAAGCAUACAUUUCAGAAUUUCAGAAAUAAUUAUGUUUUCCAUUUAGUAAUUAUGUAGCCUUUUAAAUUUUUUCUUUCUUUCUUUAUGUCUUUCACAACAUCAAAAGAUUCUGAAGUGCCCAAUGCAGUUUUUCUUUUUAAUUUCCAGGGUCUUUAUCUUAACAGAGGUAGCACUGGGUUAACCAUUUUGGGGUUCACUUCAAGGCUGAUGAUAUGGUGAAAGUUAAUGAUGUGGAUGCUGUCUACAGAUUGCCUCAUUGUGAAAGUACCUUUCUCACCUUGUAAUAUAUUCAGAAUGAAGCAUUGAAACUAAUCAAUUUCUUAUCUUCUAUUGAUACUAUUUUCCUAGUAAGCAUUCUUCUGUACAGAACUUUUGACUCCAUUUUAAAAUAUUUUUAAUCUACCCUCCUCUUGUCAGAAUAGAUUCUAGAAUGAAUUCUUUCACCCGUUGUGUUCAUUUUUGUAUUCAAAGAUCCCUCCAUUCUUUGCAAGCUGGAGCCUUUUAAGACGACUUCCAUAAACAACUGGAACACUCCCAUUGUUUAGUACCUUUAUACGUUAUGGUACAGGGCAGUGUGCUUGCUUGCCUUUUUUGUCUCCAUGUGUGUGCUCUUCAGUUCUUUGCUUGUCAUAAAGCUUUACUUAAUUUACAACGUUAACAUUUCAAGCACUUUAUCUGUUUACUUGUGUAUAUCUGUGCACACACAUGUAUCUCACAGUACACACAUAUAGUUCCAAGGACAACGUGUGGAAGUCAGUUCUUUGUUUGCACCAUGUGGAUCUUGGGGAUAUAAAACUCAGAUCAUCAGACCCAGUGGUGGCAACCAUCUGUACCCCUGUACCAUCUGACCAACCUUCAGCCAUUUAAAAGAAAACAUUUUUUAAAGAUUUAUUUAUUUUAUGUAUAUGGAUUCACUGUAGCUGAACAGAUGGUUGUGACCCUUGAAUUUUUAGGACCUCUGCUCACUCUGGUCAAGCCCCCUCACUCCAGUUGGCCCUGCUCACUCAGUCCCUACUCAAUCCGGCCCCCAAAUUUUUAUUAUUAUAAGUACACUGUAGCUGUCUUUAGACGUGCCAGAAGAGGCUGUCACAUCUCAUUAUGGGUGUUUGUGAGCCACCAUGUGGUUGCUGGGAGUUGAACUCAGGACCUUCGGAAGAGCAGUCAGUGCUCUUAACCACUAAGCCAUCUCACCAGCCCCAUCCUUUAGCCAUUUUAUUGGAAUAAUUUUGCUGGUUACUUUUUGUCUUAGGUUUUUAUUGCUGUUCAGAGACAUUAUGACUAUGACAAUUCUUAUAAAGGAGAACAUUUAAUUGGGGCUGGCUUACAGUUUCAGAAGUUUAGUUCAUUAUCAUAAUGGUGAGAAACAUGGCAUGAUACAGGCAGAUAUAGGCUAGAGAAGGUGCUGAGAGUUCUAGAUUUUUUUUAAAGAUUUAUUUAUUUUAUGUAUGAGUACACUAUUGCUCUCUUCAGACACACCAGAGGAGGGCAUCAGACCUCAUUACAGAUGGUUGUAAGUUACCAUGUGAUUGCUGGGAAUUGAACCCAGAACCUCUGGAAGAACAGUCAGUGCUCUUAACCAUUGAGCCAUCUCUCUAGGCCUGAGAGUUCUAGAUCUUAAUCUGAAGGCAGCAGGAAGAGACUGUGUGCCACACUGGGCUGUGGCUUGAGCAUGGGAGACCUCAAAGCCUGUCCCCACAGUGACAGCACUUCUCCAACAAAGCCACAUCUACUCCAACAAGGCCAUGCCUCCUAAUAGUGCCACUUCCUAUUGGCUAUGCAUUUAAACACAUGAUUCCAGGGGCCAUUGUUAUUCAAACCACCAUACUUUUUGAGCAAGUGUGUGUGUGUUUGUGUGUGUGUGUGUGUGUGUGUGUGUGUGUGUGUGUGUGUGUGUGGUACAUGCUCACGCACAUGCAUACAGCACAUGUAUAGUGAUCAGAGGACUUCUCUCAGAGAUUUCCUCUCCUCUCUUGCAGGAUGAGGAGACUGAACUUGGCUUGCUUGGAUUACUUUGCUAAUAACUUGGCUUAUAGAAAAACUCCCUAGCAUCUCUGUGGGACUGUACUAGUACACAACCAGUAACCUGCUAAGUUCCCAAGUGUGUGGCUGGUGUUCUGUAAGUAUCUCAGUUUCAUUGUGUUUACCACGAAAAGGGAAACCUAGGUCAUUCUCUUUCUUGUGCUUCUUGUUUUAUUCAGGUGCUGGUCUUUCCUGUCCAUUUCCCUGCCACGCAUCUUCUCAUAACCUUUAUCUGAUAGGUUCUUUGCAUUCAUUCUCUUGCUCUCUUGUGUUCCAGGUCUCUUUUCAGCCUAGGGAAUAAGGAAAUUUCCUGCAAAGUCCCAGGGGUGGUACUGGUUUUCAGGCAAGGCUUUGUACAAGAACAUAGUUUAGGGUUUGUUUGCUUAUUUUCCACCCUAUCUUUGAUAUGCUUUCCUCUGCCUUUUUCCUCGUCCACCUUCCUUUCUCUCCAUGAGCACAGAAAUGGGCACAGGCGGUUCAAGCAGUCUCCUGCACAUGCUAUUUCCCUUAGUGCCUUCAUGGGUGCUUACUUACCAAGUUCCUUUUCAUCCUCUAGCUGGCAAACCCAGGUCACAUCACACAGUAGCCCAGGAAAUGCUCUUAUUGAUAGCUUAUUGUUUCUUCCUCUUUUUCUUCUUUUUUUGGGGGGGGGUGGGUUGGGGUGAAGGGCUGAGCAUCAAAGUCUGUGCUCUCUACUACUGAGCUAAACCCCAGGGUAACUCCUUUUUCCUCCCCCCUUGUCUCUUUUCAUCUUCCUUUCUACCCUUUUCUUUCUCUCCAUUUCUCUCCUUUUAUUCUUCCUUCUGACACAAUCUCAUUCUGUAGCCCAGGCUAGCCUUGAAAUUAAGAUUCCCAUUAGAAGUUGCUGCUUGCUAGGAUACCAGGUGUGCACUGUCCUGCCCGACUACCCUCGUUCCCUUUUUGAUAGACCACAAUAUAGAUGUGUAAAGAAGAACAAAUACAAAAAUGGGCUUGGUUGUGCAUUCCGUUAAUGGACAUCCCAUCCUGUCCUGCUGAGCACACUUAGAAAAGUAGAACUUCAAGAAAUUGAUUACGGCUGGAGGGGUGGCUCAGCGGUUAAGAGGACUGACUGCUCUUCCUGAGGUCCUAAGUUCAAUUCCCAGCAACCACAUGGUGGCUCACAACCAUCUGUAAUGGGGUUUGAUGCCCUUUUUUGGUGUGUCUGAAGAGAGCUACGGUGUACUUUUUCUUUUCUUUUUUUUUUUCUUUUUAAAAAGAUUUAUUUCAUGUAUGUGAGCACACUGUUGUGCUCUUAACCGCUGAGCCUUCUCUCCAGCCCCCAAUAAAGAAACUGAUUAGAAGAAACUGAAGAGCUAACAAGACAGAACAUGCCAAAAUC
This 3656-nucleotide long non-coding RNA is filed under the name Mus musculus (house mouse). RNAcentral's name for it is "long non-coding RNA chr3:41002433-41006089". Lineage: Eukaryota; Metazoa; Chordata; Mammalia; Rodentia; Muridae. The record is from RNAcentral.